This 460-nucleotide ribosomal RNA is filed under the name uncultured bacterium. Its description in RNAcentral is "partial 16S ribosomal RNA". It matches the Rfam family "Bacterial small subunit ribosomal RNA", at positions 338 to 795 of the family's 1533-position model. The record is from RNAcentral.
CCUACGGGAGGCAGCAGUGAGGAAUAUUGGUCAAUGGACGAGAGUCUGAACCAGCCAAGUAGCGUGAAGGAUGACUGCCCUAUGGGUUGUAAACUUCUUUUAUAUGGGAAUAAAAUGUUCCACGUGUGGGGUUUUGUAUGUACCAUAUGAAAAAGGAUCGGCUAACUCCGUGCCAGCAGCCGCGGUAAUACGGAGGAUCCGAGCGUUAUCCGGAUUUAUUGGGGUUAAAGGGAGCGUAGGUGGAUUGUUAAGUCAGUGGUGAAAGUUUGGGGCUCAACCGUAAAAGUGCAGUUGAAACUGGCAGUCUUGAGUGCAGUAGAGGUAGGCGGAAUGCGUGGUGUAGCGGUGAAAUGCAUAGAUAUCACGAAGAACUCCGAUUGCGAAGGCAGCUCACUGGACUGCAACUGACACUGAGGCACGAAAGUGUGGGUAUCAAACAGGAUUAGAUACCCUUGUAGUC